ACAUUGAAGCCUUGUUUACUUUCAAACAAUUGUUACAAAAAUGUAAAGUUCAAAUUUUUAUUGGAAAUAAAGUGGACACGGUUUCACAAUGACAUAAACAAAUAAAAAUGUUGUUUCACACAAAAUAAAGAUUAAAAUUCUUCAUCAAAAGCCGAAAACACAUUUAUAGGUAUCACUGUAAUGGACAAUGCCAAAGGCUUUGUAUCAGCUGCUGCUGUUGCAUGUUCGCAAGCUUCCACGUCCUGGAACUACACCAGUCUCAAGUGAGGGGCGACACAAGCGCGUGAGAACAGGAGACAACUCUGGCGCUCAGUUACGCAGGACUAUUGCUGGAAUCCCAUCUGGCCCGCGCAGAGUUCUGAGUAUCUGUUUUUGGCGCAUGCGAACUGGCGACAAACUGCAACCAGUGUGAGGGUGCUCUUCAGGCCAACGUUCCCGGUGCAGGAGCGCCCUUACAGGCGGAUGUUCUCGGAGCGACAACGAACCUACAGGCGAAUGUUCUCGAUGCUACAACGAACCUACAGGCGAAUGCUCUCGAUGCGGCAGCGAACCUACAGGCGACUGCUCUCGGUGCAGCAACGAACCUACAGGCGGACGUUCCCGGUGUGGUAAACAAUGUUCGCGAUCAGCUCUUACAGACCCUGACCCAACCACAACAACCCGAACCAAAGAAGGGUCUUUGGAAAAAUGUGAAGAGUAUAAUAUUCAACAUAUUCCUUGGUUUCUUGGAAAAAAUAUUUCAUUCACUAUGUAACUGCGGCCCUUUUAAAGUUUAAGAAGCAGGAUUAAACGUAGCGGUGGCGUGACAGAUGGCUAGAAAAAAAUACUGUGCCGCCAUGAUGUAGCAAGAAUCCGUGCUGCCACGCUGAAUUACUUGAACUCAAUUAUUCACCACCAGAGGUGAACCCGGCAUCGAUCCGUGCACGUGUCACUCAACAUGGGUCUCCUGGUGAUAUCCUGUAAGAAUCGUGUUAAUAUACAAUUCAUAUGUACCUAAAUAAUUUUAUAAAUAAAAUCUGUAUUUA
Hyposmocoma kahamanoa is the source of this 1025-nucleotide RNA transcript. RefSeq lists it as uncharacterized. The transcript has 6 exons. The record is from RefSeq and is a predicted model, not a curated record. NCBI's taxonomy places the organism in Eukaryota, Metazoa, Arthropoda, Insecta, Lepidoptera, Cosmopterigidae.